ACGACCUUACUUGAACAGGAUCUGUUCUAUAGGUUGUACAUCCGUUGCCAUUGACACAAUGGAGACACACACAACAAUCUGGAAGAUCACACAAUGCCACGUGGCUACAGUGUGAAUACUGGCUUGGGGACCAAACAGGGCUCCAUCAGCCCUAGAGGAUCGCUGUCAUAGAGCCAACGGCUGUUGAGAUGGCCACAUGGCAGUCUGACAGAUA
RNAcentral lists this small nucleolar RNA (214 nucleotides) under Amborella trichopoda. RNAcentral's name for it is "snoRNA Plant_U3". It matches the Rfam family "Plant small nucleolar RNA U3". Rfam says of the family: Small nucleolar RNAs (snoRNAs) are involved in the processing and modification of rRNA in the nucleolus. There are two main classes of snoRNAs: the box C/D class, and the box H/ACA class. U3 snoRNA is a member of the box C/D class. The record is from Rfam by way of RNAcentral. Lineage: Eukaryota; Viridiplantae; Streptophyta; Magnoliopsida; Amborellales; Amborellaceae.